CAGGGCCGCCGCAGGAGGCGCAGGUGCUGGGUUCUGAGCGACAGUCCGCUCGCGGAGUCGCUCAAGGCAAGAAGACCCAGAGCCAGCAAGACUGAAACAAAAAGCAAAGGAGAGAUUCUAUCCACAUGUCAAGCCUCCCGGAAACCUAUUCAUGUCCGCAAAUGGGUGUUUUUAAACUUGGGAACCUGCCUUGAAGCCUGACUAAAUUGUCUCGGUUGGAGCUCAGGACGACUGGCCCAUGUCUUGCUCUGUGAAAUUACACAUGUCAUUUCUCACUUGUCCGUUCAAGAAACACUAUGGAGGACCUUCUGUCUGCUUGAGCUUCUGAAAUUAUGGAGCUGACACUUCAGAUUAGAAAAUAACAAAGAAGGAAGCCACCAGAUGGAAGCAUGGAAGGCUUUGCAGAAGAACUGAUGUUUGAUAUGGGUUCUGACAGAUGAAAAGGAGCUCCCUGGGUGGUGUCAGUUCAUCUUCUAUAACAUAAGGUGGUUAGACUAGGUCUACAUGGAGGACCCAUUUAAUCCUAAUUGAUUCUGUGGUUAUAACCUGCCCGUAAUCAACUUUUUCUUCUCUGUGUGUCCCUCCAGGGAGUUGAGAGACCACCAUGGACUUCCUGUCAUCAUUCUUUAUUUUGUUAGCUGAAGCAAUCCAGAUUGAGCUGUUGGUCUUGAGUCUCCCAGUUGUGUUUGGAGGCCAAAGCAUUAUCACGUUAACCAGUCUGUAACCUUCUUAGGGAAUGGUCUCUUGGGCUCAUAGAUUUAUUUCCAUCCAUCUAGUUCCCAAGGCAUUUCAUUUAGUAACUGUAGCUAUACCAAGGCGCAGCCUUCGUAAUAAAGCCCAUUUGCUCAUCAAAACGUGGGUGCCCGUAGUCGACACCCUCAGCCUUCCCAACUGCUUUUAUCUUCCCUCUCUUCCUGUGGGACAUGCAGUUCAAUAUACAGCAUGCAUCCUGGCCUUCGGGUUAAUUGUUCAUCCUGAUACUCUGCCAAAACAGGUCGAACUUUGUGCUUUGAUGGCCUUUUCACCCAUGUGACAUGAACCAUCUGUUGGGGCAAAGCUUAAAACAGCAAUUGUCAUUUGACAAGUAGUUGGCAGUA
Long non-coding RNA from Eubalaena glacialis (North Atlantic right whale), 1097 nucleotides. RefSeq lists it as uncharacterized. The transcript is spliced from 4 exons. The record is from RefSeq and is a predicted model, not a curated record. Lineage: Eukaryota; Metazoa; Chordata; Mammalia; Artiodactyla; Balaenidae.